This 253-nucleotide ribosomal RNA is filed under the name uncultured bacterium. Its description in RNAcentral is "partial 16S ribosomal RNA". It matches the Rfam family "Bacterial small subunit ribosomal RNA", at positions 524 to 776 of the family's 1533-position model. The record is from RNAcentral.
UACGGAGGAUCCAAGCGUUAUCCGGAAUCAUUGGGUUUAAAGGGUCCGUAGGCGGUUUGGUAAGUCAGUGGUGAAAGCCCAUCGCUCAACGGUGGAACGGCCAUUGAUACUGCCAGACUUGAAUUAUUAGGAAGUAACUAGAAUAUGUAGUGUAGCGGUGAAAUGCUUAGAGAUUACAUGGAAUACCAAUUGCGAAGGCAGGUUGCUACUAAUGGAUUGACGCUGAUGGACGAAAGCGUGGGUAGCGAACAGG